GAGCUGCACUGGCCCAGAUAAAAGGAGCUGCAGGGCCCAGGCCACUCAGUCCCUGGCUGGGGGAACCAGAGGGGUGGAUCUAGGAGCUACUCUCUGGCCACAGGCACUCGAGGGAAAGGGCUCAUUUUGACGGUGUGACCCAGUUCGAGGACCGAGCCAGUGAAGAUCUGCCAAGUGAGGUCAACAACCUACAGGGGGCGCCAGGAGUGGGAAAAGGACUGCAGUACCGCACAGCAGCAGCAGGAGGCGCUCAAGAGUGCCUAGCGGCCUUCACCGAAAUUCCUAUUCAUCGGUUUUAAGGCCAGAAGGGACUAUUUUGAUUAUUUAGUCUGACCUCCUGCGUAACACAAGCCAGAGACUCUCACCCAUUGGGCCCCCAUUGUGCCAGGACAGACUAAGAGAAAGGCCCGGAAGAGCGUGCAAGCUAAAGAGACGAGGUAGGCAAAGAGCGGAAGAAUUAUUAUCCCCGGUUUAGAGAUGGGGGACUGCA
Molecule: long non-coding RNA, 490 nt
Organism: Mauremys reevesii (Reeves's turtle)
Lineage: Eukaryota; Metazoa; Chordata; Testudines; Geoemydidae
Exons: 3
Source: RefSeq, a predicted model, not a curated record